RNAcentral lists this ribosomal RNA (509 nucleotides) under uncultured Glomeraceae. RNAcentral describes it as "SSU rRNA". It matches the Rfam family "Eukaryotic small subunit ribosomal RNA", at positions 569 to 1081 of the family's 1831-position model. Lineage: Eukaryota; Fungi; Glomeromycota; Glomeromycetes; Glomerales; Glomeraceae. The record is from RNAcentral.
AGCAGCCGCGGUAAUUCCAGCUCCAAUAGCGUAUAUUAAAGUUGUUGCAGUUAAAAAGCUCGUAGUUGAAUUUCGGGAUCAAUUUAUCGGUCGUGCAAUAGUACGUACUGGUUUUAUUGGUUCCUACCUUCUGAUGAACCAUGAUGCCAUUAAUUUGGUGUCAUGGGGAAUCAGGACUGUUACUUUGAAAAAAUUGAGUGUUUAAAGCAGGCUCACGCUUGAAUACAUUAGCAUGGAAUAAUGAAAUAGGACGUUUGAUUCUAUUUUGUUGGUUUCUAGGAUCGACGUAAUGAUUAAUAGGGAUAGUUGGGGGCAUUAGUAUUCAAUUGUCAGAGGUGAAAAUUCUUGGAUUUAUUGAAGACUAACUACUGCGAAAGCAUUUGCCAAGGAUGUUUUCAUUAAUCAAGAACGAAAGUUAGGGGAUCGAAGACGAUCAGAUACCGUCGUAGUCUUAACCAUAAACUAUGCCGACUAGGGAUCGGAUGAUGUUAAUUUUUAAUGACUCAUUC